Molecule: ribosomal RNA, 2905 nt
Filed under: Yersinia enterocolitica
Lineage: Bacteria; Pseudomonadati; Pseudomonadota; Gammaproteobacteria; Enterobacterales; Yersiniaceae
Description: bacterial LSU rRNA
Rfam family: Bacterial large subunit ribosomal RNA
Source: RNAcentral
UUAAGCGACUAAGCGUACACGGUGGAUGCCUAGGCAGUCAGAGGCGAUGAAGGGCGUGCUAAUCUGCGAAAAGCGUCGGUAAGGUGAUAUGAACCGUUACAACCGACGAUACCCGAAUGGGGAAACCCAGUGCAAUUCGUUGCACUAUUGCAUGGUGAAUACAUAGCCAUGCAAGGCGAACCGGGGGAACUGAAACAUCUAAGUACCCCGAGGAAAAGAAAUCAACCGAGAUUCCCCCAGUAGCGGCGAGCGAACGGGGAGGAGCCCAGAACCUGAAUCAGCGUAUGUGUUAGUGGAAGCGUCUGGAAAGUCGCACGGUACAGGGUGAUAGUCCCGUACACAAAAAUGCAUAUGUUGUGAGUUCGAUGAGUAGGGCGGGACACGUGACAUCCUGUCUGAAUAUGGGGGGACCAUCCUCCAAGGCUAAAUACUCCUGACUGACCGAUAGUGAACCAGUACCGUGAGGGAAAGGCGAAAAGAACCCCGGCGAGGGGAGUGAAAUAGAACCUGAAACCGUGUACGUACAAGCAGUGGGAGCACCUUCGUGGUGUGACUGCGUACCUUUUGUAUAAUGGGUCAGCGACUUAUAUUUUGUAGCAAGGUUAACCGAAUAGGGGAGCCGUAGGGAAACCGAGUCUUAACUGGGCGAAUAGUUGCAAGGUAUAGACCCGAAACCCGGUGAUCUAGCCAUGGGCAGGUUGAAGGUUGGGUAACACUAACUGGAGGACCGAACCGACUAAUGUUGAAAAAUUAGCGGAUGACUUGUGGCUGGGGGUGAAAGGCCAAUCAAACCGGGAGAUAGCUGGUUCUCCCCGAAAGCUAUUUAGGUAGCGCCUCGUGAACUCAUCUUCGGGGGUAGAGCACUGUUUCGGCUAGGGGGUCAUCCCGACUUACCAAACCGAUGCAAACUCCGAAUACCGAAGAAUGUUAUCACGGGAGACACACGGCGGGUGCUAACGUCCGUCGUGAAGAGGGAAACAACCCAGACCGCCAGCUAAGGUCCCAAAGUCAUGGUUAAGUGGGAAACGAUGUGGGAAGGCAUAGACAGCCAGGAUGUUGGCUUAGAAGCAGCCAUCAUUUAAAGAAAGCGUAAUAGCUCACUGGUCGAGUCGGCCUGCGCGGAAGAUGUAACGGGGCUAAACCAUGCACCGAAGCUGCGGCAGCGACACUUAGGUGUUGUUGGGUAGGGGAGCGUUCUGUAAGCCGUUGAAGGUGACCUGUGAGGGUUGCUGGAGGUAUCAGAAGUGCGAAUGCUGACAUAAGUAACGAUAAUGCGGGUGAAAAACCCGCACGCCGGAAGACCAAGGGUUCCUGUCCAACGUUAAUCGGGGCAGGGUGAGUCGACCCCUAAGGCGAGGCUGAAAAGCGUAGUCGAUGGGAAACAGGUUAAUAUUCCUGUACUUGGUGUUACUGCGAAGGGGGGACGGAGAAGGCUAGGCUAGCCGGGCGACGGUUGUCCCGGUUUAAGCAUGUAGGCGGAGUGACUUGGUAAAUCCGGUUGCUUAUCAACGCUGAGGUGUGAUGACGAGCCACUACGGUGGUGAAGUAGUUGAUGCCAAGCUUCCAGGAAAAGCCUCUAAGCAUCAGGUAACAUUAAAUCGUACCCCAAACCGACACAGGUGGUCAGGUAGAGAAUACUCAGGCGCUUGAGAGAACUCGGGUGAAGGAACUAGGCAAAAUGGUGCCGUAACUUCGGGAGAAGGCACGCUGGCAUUAGGUAAAGGGACUUGCUCCCGGCGCCGAAGCCAGUCGCAGAUACCAGCUGGCUGCAACUGUUUAAUAAAAACACAGCACUGUGCAAACACGAAAGUGGACGUAUACGGUGUGACGCCUGCCCGGUGCUGGAAGGUUAAUUGAUGGGGUCAGCCGCAAGGCGAAGCUCUUGAUCGAAGCCCCAGUAAACGGCGGCCGUAACUAUAACGGUCCUAAGGUAGCGAAAUUCCUUGUCGGGUAAGUUCCGACCUGCACGAAUGGCGUAAUGAUGGCCAGGCUGUCUCCACCCGAGACUCAGUGAAAUUGAACUCGCUGUGAAGAUGCAGUGUACCCGCGGCAAGACGGAAAGACCCCGUGAACCUUUACUAUAGCUUGACACUGAACAUUGAGCCUUGAUGUGUAGGAUAGGUGGGAGGCAUUGAAGUGUGGACGCCAGUCUGCAUGGAGCCAACCUUGAAAUACCACCCUUUAAUGUUUGAUGUUCUAACUCGGCCCCAUAAUCUGGGGUGAGGACAGUGUCUGGUGGGUAGUUUGACUGGGGCGGUCUCCUCCCAAAGAGUAACGGAGGAGCACGAAGGUUAGCUAAUCACGGUCGGACAUCGUGAGGUUAGUGCAAAGGCAUAAGCUAGCUUGACUGCGAGAGUGACGGCUCGAGCAGGUACGAAAGUAGGUCUUAGUGAUCCGGUGGUUCUGAAUGGAAGGGCCAUCGCUCAACGGAUAAAAGGUACUCCGGGGAUAACAGGCUGAUACCGCCCAAGAGUUCAUAUCGACGGCGGUGUUUGGCACCUCGAUGUCGGCUCAUCACAUCCUGGGGCUGAAGUAGGUCCCAAGGGUAUGGCUGUUCGCCAUUUAAAGUGGUACGCGAGCUGGGUUUAGAACGUCGUGAGACAGUUCGGUCCCUAUCUGCCGUGGGCGUUGGAAGAUUGAGAGGGGCUGCUCCUAGUACGAGAGGACCGGAGUGGACGAAUCACUGGUGUUCGGGUUGUCAUGCCAAUGGCAUUGCCCGGUAGCUAAAUUCGGAAGAGAUAACCGCUGAAAGCAUCUAAGCGGGAAACUUGCCUCGAGAUGAGUCUUCCCUGGGGCUUUAAGCCCCCUGAAGGAACGUUAAAGACUAUGACGUUGAUAGGCUGGGUGUGUAAGUGCAGCGAUGCAUUGAGCUAACCAGUACUAAUGAUCCGUGAGGCUUAACCUU